RNAcentral lists this unclassified non-coding RNA (169 nucleotides) under soil metagenome. Its description in RNAcentral is "partial internal transcribed spacer 1". The record is from RNAcentral.
CUGCUUGCUCAUGGCCGCCUGGAGUUCUGCUCCGGCGCGGUACGGCAACACUACCCUUGUCUAUACAUACCUUUUGUUAUUUCCCUCGGCGGGGUCACACCCGUCGAUGGGGACACUAUAAACCCUUGUAUCUUAAGCAUCAAACUUCUGAGACAAAACAAAAUAAUCA